This 311-nucleotide ribosomal RNA is filed under the name uncultured Rhodocyclaceae bacterium. Its description in RNAcentral is "bacterial SSU rRNA". It matches the Rfam family "Bacterial small subunit ribosomal RNA", at positions 1075 to 1382 of the family's 1533-position model. Lineage: Bacteria; Pseudomonadati; Pseudomonadota; Betaproteobacteria; Rhodocyclales; Rhodocyclaceae. The record is from RNAcentral.
UUGGGUUAAGUCCCGCAACGAGCGCCAACCCUUGUCAUUAGUUGCCAUCAUUUGGUUGGGCACUCUAAUGAGACUGCCGGUGACAAACCGGAGGAAGGUGGGGAUGACGUCAAGUCCCUCAUCGGCCCUUAUGGGUAGGGCUUCACACGUCAUACAAUGGUCGGUACAGGAGGGUUGCCCAACCCGCGAGGGGGAGCUAAUCCCACAAAGCCGAUCGUAGUCCGGAUCGCAGUCUGCAACUCGACUGCGUGAAGUCGGAAUCGCUAGUAAUCGUGGAUCAGCAUGUCACGGUGAAUACGUUCCCGGGUCUU